UGUUUGUAGAUGGCGGCCGGGGAGAAAGGGUUGAUCCUUCGAGGAAGGAAUUUAGUUUUGCAUCGACUAUGAAGAGUUUGGAGACAUCACAACACGACGAGAGUUCAAUGAACAUAUUAUAAACCACCAGGGAUGCAAUUUAAUGCAUCUAGAACGUCCAUGGUCUCUGAAGUUGGGCCUACUAACUGCUAACUGCCUGUGCGGGUGUGAGUGGCCUGUAAGAUGGGGAAUUGUAUGUCAUGCUGUAAGACUAAACUAAUUUUGUUAAUG
RNAcentral lists this unclassified non-coding RNA (270 nucleotides) under Haliotis rubra (blacklip abalone). Its description in RNAcentral is "dCN1-like protein 3, transcript variant X1". The record is from RNAcentral. Lineage: Eukaryota; Metazoa; Mollusca; Gastropoda; Lepetellida; Haliotidae.